UACGAAGGGGGCUAGCGUUGCUCGGAAUCAUUGGGCGUAAAGAGCGUGUAGGCGGCUUGGUAAGUCCGCUGUGAAAGUCCAGGGCUCAACCCUGGAAAGCCGGUGGAAACUGUCAAGCUUGAGUCCGGAAGAGGCAGAGGGAAUUUCCGGUGGAGCGGUGAAAUGCGUAGAGAUCGGAAAGAACACCAACGGCGAAAGCACUCUGCUGGGCCGACACUGACACUGAGAGACGAAAGCUAGGGGAGCGAAUGGG
Molecule: ribosomal RNA, 253 nt
Filed under: uncultured bacterium
Lineage: Bacteria
Description: partial 16S ribosomal RNA
Rfam family: Bacterial small subunit ribosomal RNA
Source: RNAcentral